This 562-nucleotide ribosomal RNA is filed under the name uncultured bacterium. RNAcentral's name for it is "bacterial SSU rRNA". It matches the Rfam family "Bacterial small subunit ribosomal RNA", at positions 338 to 918 of the family's 1533-position model. The record is from RNAcentral.
CCUACGGGAGGCAGCAGUGGGGAAUCUUGGACAAUGGGGGCAACCCUGAUCCAGCCAUGCCGCGUGAGUGAUGAAGGCCUUAGGGUCGUAAAGCUCUUUCGCCUGUGAUGAUAAUGACAGUAGCAGGUAAAGAAACCCCGGCUAACUCCGUGCCAGCAGCCGCGGUAAUACGGAGGGGGUUAGCGUUGUUCGGAAUUACUGGGCGUAAAGCGCGCGUAGGCGGAUUAGUCAGUUAGAGGUGAAAUCCCAGGGCUCAACCCUGGAACUGCCUUUAAUACUGCUAGUCUUGAGUUCGAGAGAGGUGAGUGGAAUUCCGAGUGUAGAGGUGAAAUUCGUAGAUAUUCGGAGGAACACCAGUGGCGAAGGCGGCUCACUGGCUCGAUACUGACGCUGAGGUGCGAAAGUGUGGGGAGCAAACAGGAUUAGAUACCCUGGUAGUCCACACCGUAAACGAUGAAUGCCAGUCGUCGGGAUGCUUGCAUCUCGGUGACACACCUAACGGAUUAAGCAUUCCGCCUGGGGAGUACGGUCGCAAGAUUAAAACUCAAAGGAAUUGACGGGG